UUGCGGCGUUCGAACUUAUUAAAGCGGAUUUAUACAAGUUUACGCAAUAUUUCUAGUAAAGACUGAAAUGAACAAAUAAUGAGUAACAUAAAUUGGAAUUCGGUCUAGUCAGAACUCUUGAAAUUGUUUUAUAAAGUUUUUCAUUUCGAGGUUUUGAAGAUUUCGUUUUUGUGUAUUUUUAUUUAAAAUUGUCAUAGCACGGUCGUUUUUCAAUAAUUGUGGAACGGUGUGUUUUAAGUGGGUGCUUCAAUUGUUUAAGUAGCGCUUAUUUCCCAAAUUUUUUAUGUUCAGUGAAGUUUAAUAGUCACUCUGGAAUUCCCCUAUAGGUAAUUGAUGUUUAAUAAGUUAUCACUUAUCAUCAACAACGAAGGAAACACGAAGAGUCGGAGGAGAUUUGUUAGAGGGCCAAUGUUGGAAAAAAGUCGUUGAACGGUUUUUUGCCGUAAUAAUGGAAUAUUAUAGAAGCUCAAAAUGCCAUGUGUUCACGAAGUUUCUUCAUAUCAAUCCUCUUUCACUUCUGGAUGUAGUGUUACCUGAAGGAAGCAUAAAAGAGUACCAUUUUCAGCUGGAAGCUGAGGCAGACUGUUGCUGUAACUAAAGAAAUGCUUUAUGACAAAAAUUGAUUGGCCAACAAAUGAACUACUGAAAUGACUACAAUGGUACCUAUUGUUUUGCCUGUACAUACUUAACUUUCGAUUUACUGUUGGCAUCUUUACCUCACAUGCGGCUGAUUUUUGAUGGAUUAGUGUGAGCAACUGGAAGUUAUUUGGACCCCACUGAAACAACAAAUCAUCUGCAUUGAAUCUUUCUUCCUGGUUACGGCUUUCUCUCGCACUUGCAAAUUUGAAGAAUUACAUUCUACAGUUAGUUAAGAUUGCCCAACAAAUGCGAGAAAACUGAAAUUAAUUUUGAUGCUGCCAAUGUCGCCUACAAUGGUAUCAUAUUUGCUUAUUUUGGUUUGCUGUUGUCAUCUUCACAUUGCUUCAUCAGGCAGUUAAUUUUGGACCAAUGAAAGAAAACACCUGGAAAUUUAUUUGGAAACCACUAACAUCACGUCAUUUUGGCCUUGCUCUGCACUCACAUUAAGAUCGACGGUGGAGAAGACAAAGAAGAUCCCGUAGUUAGAAUAUUUUUUGCCCUAUUAUAAUCAAGCUCUUAUUUUGCAUGUUUUUUAUUUUUAGUUUGCUUAUUUUUUUGUAGUUUAUUUUAUUUGAGUCAAUUUUAAUUU
Molecule: long non-coding RNA, 1228 nt
Organism: Agrilus planipennis (emerald ash borer)
Lineage: Eukaryota; Metazoa; Arthropoda; Insecta; Coleoptera; Buprestidae
Exons: 6
Source: RefSeq, a predicted model, not a curated record